AACAAUGUGGACAGAUUUGAACUGCUUGCAACCACAGAAAAAAAUGCUAAAACGAAAUUC
Bacteroidia bacterium 43-41 is the source of this 60-nucleotide non-coding RNA. The record is from Rfam. NCBI's taxonomy places the organism in Bacteria, Pseudomonadati, Bacteroidota, Bacteroidia.